CCUCGGCAUCCUUAAAUGAAUCUCGCAGAAUAAGCUGCAGAGAGUGAAUUGCAUCCAUUUCUGCAUUUUCCCAUGGUAAGCUCCGGCUUUUAACAACUUCCAGAAAUGCCUUGAAGGAAGAACGUGGAUGCAUUCUCUGCCCGUGUUCCACUCAGAGCAACAAGUGUUCUCAUCUGACGCAAAUAUGGGUGGGAUCAGAGGAUUGGGACUGUGCACAAUGGCCUUGUAAUCACCUUGGAUGUGAAUAAACUUGUCCAUUACAACUUUUUGCCCAGUAACAUCCUGGCCAACAAAACAAACACCAACAAUGUUGUUUGUGUAAUCUUUGCUAGAGGUCAUCCUUGUCUUCAGGAUGAUGCUUUGCACCACCCCACUUUAUCUCUUUCGCUGUAUGGGAGCGAAACCAAAACAAGAAAUCUUUAGAAGUUAUAUAAGCAACAGCCAUACCACAAACUGCAUCACCAAGCGAAGCUGCCCC
This 478-nucleotide long non-coding RNA is filed under the name Nicotiana benthamiana. Its description in RNAcentral is "long non-coding RNA (NBEN_LNC029145)". The record is from RNAcentral. Lineage: Eukaryota; Viridiplantae; Streptophyta; Magnoliopsida; Solanales; Solanaceae.